GAGGCAAUAGCUCAGUUGGUAGAGCAUGAGAGUCUUAAAUCUCAGGGUUCAAGCCCCUCAUUGUUGCA
Molecule: non-coding RNA, 68 nt
Organism: Podarcis lilfordi (Lilford's wall lizard)
Lineage: Eukaryota; Metazoa; Chordata; Lepidosauria; Squamata; Lacertidae
Source: the annotation of a GenBank genome assembly